GGUUGUGGUUCAGUGGUAGAGUACUUGCCUAACACGUGUGAGACACUGGGUUUGAUUCUCAGAACCA
RNAcentral lists this transfer RNA (67 nucleotides) under Marmota monax (woodchuck). RNAcentral's name for it is "tRNA.Val". Lineage: Eukaryota; Metazoa; Chordata; Mammalia; Rodentia; Sciuridae. The record is from RNAcentral.